AGUGAACGCUGGCGGUAGGCCUAACACAUGCAAGUCGAACGGCAGCACAGUAAGAGCUUGCUCUUACGGGUGGCGAGUGGCGGACGGGUGAGGAAUACAUCGGAAUCUACUUUUUCGUGGGGGAUAACGUAGGGAAACUUACGCUAAUACCGCAUACGACCUACGGGUGAAAGCAGGGGAUCUUCGGACCUUGCGCGAUUGAAUGAGCCGAUGUCGGAUUAGCUAGUUGGCGGGGUAAAGGCCCACCAAGGCGACGAUCCGUAGCUGGUCUGAGAGGAUGAUCAGCCACACUGGAACUGAGACACGCUCCAGACUCCUACGGGAGGCAGCAGUGGGAAAUAUUGGACAAAGGGCGCAAGCCUGAUCCAGCCAUACCGCGUGGGUGAAGAAGGCCUUCGGGUUGUAAAGCCCUUUUGUUGGGAAAGAAAAGCAGCAGGUUAAUACCCCGCUGUUCUGACGGUACCCAAAGAAUAAGCACCGGCUAACUUCGUG
Molecule: ribosomal RNA, 492 nt
Filed under: uncultured bacterium
Lineage: Bacteria
Description: partial 16S ribosomal RNA
Rfam family: Bacterial small subunit ribosomal RNA
Source: RNAcentral